This 29-nucleotide non-coding RNA is filed under the name Mus musculus (house mouse). The record is from RNAcentral. Lineage: Eukaryota; Metazoa; Chordata; Mammalia; Rodentia; Muridae.
UAAAGAUUAAUGAUAUGAAUGUGUUGUAG